This is a long non-coding RNA of Rhagoletis pomonella (apple maggot), 332 nucleotides long. RefSeq lists it as uncharacterized. Lineage: Eukaryota; Metazoa; Arthropoda; Insecta; Diptera; Tephritidae. The record is from RefSeq and is a predicted model, not a curated record. The transcript has 4 exons.
CUUGCUCAUAUUUUUUGGAGUGUGUGCGUAGACAGAUGCUAAAGUACAUACAUGUAUAUGUACAUAUGUUUAAUGAUUCAUGGAUCCCUGUUGCUUGUGGAAAACAAUUUCUACACAGAGAAAAUGAUACAGAAAAGGCGAUGAAGUAUAUACAAACAAUACUGCCAUUCUAACCACUAACUACAUACAUAUAAGGGACAUUCGUGGACUUCUUUGACCCAAAAAAGCUUUGGAUUUGACCAGCGUGAACAAAAUUAGCAGGCCCAGCUUGGAAGUAAGGCAGGAACAUCUGUAUGUAUAUAGUAAUAUGUAUAUCAAUAUACUUUUGACAA